RNAcentral lists this small RNA (28 nucleotides) under Bombyx mori (domestic silkworm). Its description in RNAcentral is "ovarian small RNA-18812". The record is from RNAcentral. Lineage: Eukaryota; Metazoa; Arthropoda; Insecta; Lepidoptera; Bombycidae.
UAACGAUACAGAGACCGACCGCGAUCGC